This 23-nucleotide microRNA is filed under the name Callorhinchus milii (elephant shark). Its description in RNAcentral is "eshark_mir-667_1". The record is from RNAcentral. Lineage: Eukaryota; Metazoa; Chordata; Chondrichthyes; Chimaeriformes; Callorhinchidae.
CGGUGCUGCUGGAGGACUCUGCC